GUCUACAAUUGCCUUGGCCAGAUUCCCAAACAUUCUCGACUCGCCUACAGAUUUACAAUGACUUCUGCUAAACCAGUGACUGAAAGCCUUGAAAAAUUAUUGGAGAAGAAUGUAAAAGGAGAUGAUCUGGUUGAAAUAAAAAGAAUUCUUUAUGGCAAAGAAUUGUCGAAUCUGGACAUUCCCAAAGAAGCUCAGAAACUUGCUGAAGAACAUGACUUUGAGAUACAAGCAUACAAAUUUGGAACUAUAUUUAAUGAACAAUUACGGACACCAAGAAUUGUACGAGUUGGGCUAAUCCAGACUCACAUUGUACGACCCACCAGUGAUCCACUAAAGGAGCAGCGAGAGGCAAUCUUUGAUCGUAUGUCAAAAGUAGUUGAUGUUGCUGCAUAUUGUGGAGUGAACAUAAUAUGUUUCCAGGAGUUGUGGCCAUAUCCAUACGCCUUCUGCACACGGGAGAAACAGCCCUGGUGUGAAUUAGCUGAAUCUGUUGAAGAUGGACCUACAACACAGUUUGUGCAGAAGCUAAGUCGACAGUACAAUAUGGUUAUUGUGUCUUCUAUCUUGGAGCGAGCUGAAAGUCUUGAGGAUGUACUGUGGAACACUACAGUGGUAGUUUCAAACACUGGCCAAAUAUUGGGCAAGCAUCGUAAGAAUCAUAUCCCUAGAAUUGGUGAUUUCAAUGAGUCUCAUUAUUAUAUGGAAGGUGAUACUGGACAUCCAGUAUUUCAGACACAAUUUGGUCGAAUUGCUAUCAACAUUUGUUUUGGGCGUCAUCAUCCUCUGAACUGGCUGAUGUUUGGAUUGAAUGGGGCUGAGAUUGUGUUCAACCCAUCAGCAACAGUUGCUCCUCUUAGUGAGCCCUUGUGGGGAAUUGAGGCACGUAAUGCAGCUAUUGCAAAUGGUUACUUCACUGCUGCGAUCAAUCGUGUUGGCAUUGAAACAUUCCCAAAUGAAUUCUCAACAGGAGAUGGAUUACCACCUCACCGAGAUCUGAAAUACUUUUAUGGAUCCAGUUACAUUGCUGCCCCUGACGGAAGUCGCACUCCAGGUCUCAGUCGAGUCAGGGACGGCCUUCUGGUGGCAGAGUUAGACUUGAAUCUGAAUCGACAAGUCAGGGAUUAUACGUGCUUUCAAAUGACACAGCGUUUAGAUCUUUAUGCAGAAUCACUGGCAAAAGCUGCAAAGCCAGAUUAUAAGCCACAGAUCAUACGUGACAAUUAAAGCUUCAUACUCUCAUAUCAACUGGAUCACAACCAAAGACAAUGUGCCUCAGUGAAGAAGUCUGUUGUGGGUUGUAACAUCAUGUGCUCCUGUAAGUGGCCAUCAUCAUUCUGAAGGAAUGUACUACCUCCAUCUAUAAUCUUUAGUAAGGAAGUUGAGUACAACAUACUCCACUGAAACUUUGGUAACCAGCUACAAGACAUCACAGUGUCACAACCCAGAAGUCUACAAGAAACAAAUAAUUUACUGAACUGAUUACCUUUGUAUACUACCUUGCCCUGGCUGACAACAGCAACCACCAAUGGCAUCACGCAAAAUGCACAGUAUGGACCUCAGAACAGAACCAGCUGGCCGAUGAACUAAGUAAUAGGGGCGUCCAAGAGAGAAAAGUAUCAGAGCCAUCAAUAAACAGCCACCUGUUCCAGCAAAUGCUCUCAGGAAUCCAUCUGUCAUGUCCAGUGCUACAUAAGACAGUGCUCCUACACCCAACAGACUUCCAGUGUUGACACACCAGUAGUACCAGUUAAAGAACUUGCGGAGAGAGUCAGCUCCACCGUACUUCACCUAAGACGAAACAUUAGAAUUUGUAGAACCUUACACCAAAUUAAAUUCAGAAUCUUGGUAUGCAUAUCCCCCCUCCCCAAAGUCUAGUCCAAUUGCAAUCCAGAAUUUUUUUUAUUCUAUGGAAGCUUUUGGUCUACAGAUAAGGAGCUAUACUUCUCUACUGAGAGUGGCAUAUUUUUCUGCUUGUCUUUUCAGUCUCAUGUCUUUUUUGGACUCUAAAUUCUGUCUGUGUUGGAAAUAGCAGGUGCCUACCAUGGUUUGAGUCCAUAACUAACUAUAUGUAGAAAUCUUCAAUAUAUUCCAGUUACUGAAA
This is a non-coding RNA of Zootermopsis nevadensis, 2101 nucleotides long. The record is from RefSeq and is a predicted model, not a curated record. NCBI's taxonomy places the organism in Eukaryota, Metazoa, Arthropoda, Insecta, Blattodea, Termopsidae.